This 1521-nucleotide ribosomal RNA is filed under the name metagenome. RNAcentral describes it as "bacterial SSU rRNA". It matches the Rfam family "Bacterial small subunit ribosomal RNA". The record is from RNAcentral.
AGAGUUUGAUCAUGGCUCAGAUUGAACGCUGGCGGCAGGCCUAACACAUGCAAGUCGAACGGUAACAGGAAGCAGCUUGCUGCUUCGCUGACGAGUGGCGGACGGGUGAGUAAUGUCUGGGAAGCUGCCUGAUGGAGGGGGAUAACUACUGGAAACGGUAGCUAAUACCGCAUAAUGUCGCAAGACCAAAGAGGGGGACCUUCGGGCCUCUUGCCAUCGGAUGUGCCCAGAUGGGAUUAGCUUGUUGGUGGGGUAACGGCUCACCAAGGCGACGAUCCCUAGCUGGUCUGAGAGGAUGACCAGCCACACUGGAACUGAGACACGGUCCAGACUCCUACGGGAGGCAGCAGUGGGAAUAUUGCACAAUGGGCGCAAGCCUGAUGCAGCCAUGCCGCGUGUAUGAAGAAGGCCUUCGGGUUGUAAAGUACUUUCAGCGGGGAGGAAGGGAGUAAAGUUAAUACCUUUGCUCAUUGACGUUACCCGCAGAAGAAGCACCGGCUAACUCCGUGCCAGCAGCCGCGGUAAUACGGAGGGUGCAAGCGUUAAUCGGAAUUACUGGGCGUAAAGCGCACGCAGGCGGUUUGUUAAGUCAGAUGUGAAAUCCCCGGGCUCAACCUGGGAACUGCAUCUGAUACUGGCAAGCUUGAGUCUCGUAGAGGGGGGUAGAAUUCCAGGUGUAGCGGUGAAAUGCGUAGAGAUCUGGAGGAAUACCGGUGGCGAAGGCGGCCCCCUGGACGAAGACUGACGCUCAGGUGCGAAAGCGUGGGGAGCAAACAGGAUUAGAUACCCUGGUAGUCCACGCCGUAAACGAUGUCGACUUGGAGGUUGUGCCCUUGAGGCGUGGCUUCCGGAGCUAACGCGUUAAGUCGACCGCCUGGGGAGUACGGCCGCAAGGUUAAAACUCAAAUGAAUUGACGGGGGCCCGCACAAGCGGUGGAGCAUGUGGUUUAAUUCGAUGCAACGCGAAGAACCUUACCUGGUCUUGACAUCCACGGAAGUUUUCAGAGAUGAGAAUGUGCCUUCGGGAACCGUGAGACAGGUGCUGCAUGGCUGUCGUCAGCUCGUGUUGUGAAAUGUUGGGUUAAGUCCCGCAACGAGCGCAACCCUUAUCCUUUGUUGCCAGCGGUCCGGCCGGGAACUCAAAGGAGACUGCCAGUGAUAAACUGGAGGAAGGUGGGGAUGACGUCAAGUCAUCAUGGCCCUUACGACCAGGGCUACACACGUGCUACAAUGGCGCAUACAAAGAGAAGCGACCUCGCGAGAGCAAGCGGACCUCAUAAAGUGCGUCGUAGUCCGGAUUGGAGUCUGCAACUCGACUCCAUGAAGUCGGAAUCGCUAGUAAUCGUGGAUCAGAAUGCCACGGUGAAUACGUUCCCGGGCCUUGUACACACCGCCCGUCACACCAUGGGAGUGGGUUGCAAAAGAAGUAGGUAGCUUAACCUUCGGGAGGGCGCUUACCACUUUGUGAUUCAUGACUGGGGUGAAGUCGUAACAAGGUAACCGUAGGGGAACCUGCGGUUG